This 468-nucleotide ribosomal RNA is filed under the name uncultured bacterium. Its description in RNAcentral is "partial 16S ribosomal RNA". It matches the Rfam family "Bacterial small subunit ribosomal RNA", at positions 28 to 507 of the family's 1533-position model. The record is from RNAcentral.
GACGAACGCUGGCGGCGUGCUUAACACAUGCAAGUCGAACGGAAAGGCCCUGCUCUUGUGGGGUGCUCGAGUGGCGAACGGGUGAGUAACACGUGAGUAACCUGCCCUUGACUUUGGGAUAACUUCAGGAAACUGGGGCUAAUACCGGAUAGGAGCUCCUGCUGCAUGGUGGGGGUUGGAAAGUUUCGGCGGUUGGGGAUGGACUCGCGGCUUAUCAGCUUGUUGGUGGGGUAGUGGCUUACCAAGGCUUUGACGGGUAGCCGGCCUGAGAGGGGGACCGGCCACAUUGGGACUAAGAUACGGCGCAGACUCCUACGGGAGGCAGCAGUGGGGAACAUUGCACAGUGGGCGGAAGCCUGAUGCAGCAACGCCGCGUGCGGGAUGACGGCCUUCGGGUUGUAAACCGCUUUCGCCUGUGACGAAGCGUGAGUGACGGUAAUGGGUAAAGAAGCACCGGCUAACUACGUG